This 429-nucleotide ribosomal RNA is filed under the name Verrucomicrobiota bacterium. RNAcentral's name for it is "Verrucomicrobia bacterium partial 16S ribosomal RNA". It matches the Rfam family "Bacterial small subunit ribosomal RNA", at positions 355 to 776 of the family's 1533-position model. Lineage: Bacteria; Pseudomonadati; Verrucomicrobiota. The record is from RNAcentral.
UAGGGAAUCUUCGGCAAUGGGGGGAACCAUGACCGAGCAACGCCGCGUGAGUGAAGAAGGUUUUCGGAUCGUAAAGCUCUGUUGUUAAGGAAGAACGAGUGUGAGAAUGGAAAGUUCAUGCUGUGACGGUACUUAACCAGAAAGGGACGGCUAACUACGUGCCAGCAGCCGCGGUAAUACGUAGGUCCCGAGCGUUGUCCGGAUUUAUUGGGCGUAAAGCGAGCGCAGGCGGUUAGAAAAGUCUGAAGUGAAAGGCAGUGGCUCAACCAUUGUAGGCUUUGGAAACUGUUUAACUUGAGUGCAGAAGGGGAGAGUGGAAUUCCAUGUGUAGCGGUGAAAUGCGUAGAUAUAUGGAGGAACACCGGUGGCGAAAGCGGCUUUUUGGCCUGCAACUGACACUGAGGCGCGAAAGCGUGGGGAGCAAACAGG